This 420-nucleotide ribosomal RNA is filed under the name bacterium. RNAcentral's name for it is "partial 16S ribosomal RNA". It matches the Rfam family "Bacterial small subunit ribosomal RNA", at positions 355 to 776 of the family's 1533-position model. The record is from RNAcentral.
UGGGGGAUAUUGCACAAUGGGCGAAAGCCUGAUGCAGCGACGCCGCGUGGGGGAUGAAGGCUUUCGGGUUGUAAACCUCUUUCGCUAUCGAACAAGGCCCGCUUAGGGUGGGUUGAGGGUAGGUGGAGAAGAAGCGCCGGCUAACUACGUGACAGCCGCCGCGGUAAUACGGAGGGCGCGAGCGUUGGCCGGAAUUAUCGGGCGUAAAGGGCUUGUAGGCGGCUUGUUGCGCCUGCUGUGAAAACGCGGGGCUUAACUUCGCGCGUGCAGUGGGUACUGGCAGGCUUGAGUGUGGUAGGGGUGACUGGAAUUCCAGGUGUAGCGGUGGAAUGCGAAGAUAUCUGGAGGAACACCGAUGGCGAAGGCAGGUCACUGGGCCAUUACUGACGCUGAGGAGCGAAAGCAUGGGUAGCGAACAGG